Lates calcarifer (barramundi perch) is the source of this 783-nucleotide long non-coding RNA. RefSeq lists it as uncharacterized. The transcript is spliced from 3 exons. The record is from RefSeq and is a predicted model, not a curated record. NCBI's taxonomy places the organism in Eukaryota, Metazoa, Chordata, Actinopteri, Centropomidae.
GUUGUAGUUUUCCUCUUUUCUCUCCUGUAGCUGGACUCACUCAGAGGAAGCUGUUAGUUUGGUCUGAAGGUGAAUCUGAUCGAAUGUUUUUCAGCCUGUUCUUCUUGACGAAAUAAAAAGUUUCUUGGUUUGUCUCAGCUAUUCUCCAUCUGACCACCAGAUGUCCUCAGACUUUCCUCCCUGUACCAGUCACCUGACUGCUCACUCCUGCUCACCUGUCCAACAACCACCACAGAGUCUCUGCCCUCUCUCACAUCUGUUCCCUGUUUCCUCAUCAUCUCAGUAUUUAAACCAACCAUUUCCUUCAGCUCCUUGUCUUGUCUGUGAUCCUGCUCCUCUUUGUUUCAUCCAUUAAAAGUCCCUUCCCUGCCUGAGCUGCUGCCACCAGCCUCAGUAACAGUGGAUGAUACUCAGACAGUAACUGUCACCUGUUAUACUUGACCUGCCCCCCAGAUGUCCCCACACUUUCAUCCUGUCUCCAUAUCCACCUGGUUCGGCUCCUGGUGCGGUUUCCCAAGGCUUAUUGGUCCUGGGUGUUGGAUCCACCUGGAGCCAGAUCUGGGUGAAGACCAGGGAUGAGUGUCUGCCAGCUUCUGUUGAACAAACCCUGGAGAGAUCGCCUCCAUGUGGCUUCAAAGUCAUUUUGAAGGCGUCCUCUGUAGACCCAGACCAAGACCUGAGAGCACUGGUGGUGGUCACUGAAGGUUUACUCUGAGAUAUGGACACACUGCUGGUGAACUGGUGCUUUAUUUGUUAAAUGGGCUUCAGUUUGAAUGUUGAACA